GAAGAGCAUCCUACGGGAGGCAGCAGUGGGGAAUAUUGCACAAUGGGCGCAAGCCUGAUGCAGCCAUGCCGCGUGUAUGAAGAAGGCCUUCGGGUUGUAAAGUACUUUCAGCAGUGAGGAAGGUGGGUAUGUUAAUAGCAUAUUCAUUUGACGUUAGCUGCAGAAGAAGCACCGGCUAACUCCGUGCCAGCAGCCGCGGUAAUACGGAGGGUGCGAGCGUUAAUCGGAAUUACUGGGCGUAAAGCGCAUGCAGGUGGUUUGUUAAGUCAGAUGUGAAAGCCCGGGGCUCAACCUCGGAAUUGCAUUUGAAACUGGCAAACUAGAGUACUGUAGAGGGGGUAGAAUUUCAGGUGUAGCGGUGAAAUGCGUAGAGAUCUGAAGGAAUACCGGUGGCGAAGGCGGCCCCCUGGACAGAUACUGACACUCAGAUGCGAAAGCGUGGGGAGCAAACAGGAUUAGAUACCCUGGUAG
Molecule: ribosomal RNA, 471 nt
Filed under: uncultured bacterium
Lineage: Bacteria
Description: bacterial SSU rRNA
Rfam family: Bacterial small subunit ribosomal RNA
Source: RNAcentral